This 651-nucleotide non-coding RNA is filed under the name Chelonia mydas (Green sea turtle). RNAcentral describes it as "Eukaryotic large subunit ribosomal RNA". It matches the Rfam family "Eukaryotic large subunit ribosomal RNA", at positions 1 to 604 of the family's 3401-position model. The record is from Rfam by way of RNAcentral. Lineage: Eukaryota; Metazoa; Chordata; Testudines; Cheloniidae.
AGUGUUAAAGUAGCAUAAAAAUCACAAAAGGCAAUGCCUUUAGGUAUUUUAAAUCCUGGAGAUGAGAGACAAGCUUUCCAGAAGACUAGUUUUUAACUGAUAAUGUUUGAAUGAUUAACUGUCCCAUACAGUUCAAGAGGGCAUGAAACCGUUAAGAGGUAAACGGGUGGGGUCCACGCAGACCUGUGGACGGUGUGAGGCCAGUAGUGGCCCCCGGCAUGCCAGGACCAAGUCUUCUUGGAGUCAGGUUGCUUGGGAAUGCAGCCCAAAGAUGGUGGUAAACUCCAUCUAAGGCUAAAUACUGGCACGAGACCAAUAGUCAACAAGUACCUUAAGGGAAAGUUGAAAAGAACUUUGAAGAGAGAGUUCAAGAGGGCGUGAAGCCGUUAAGAGGUAAGUGGGUGGGGUCCAUGCAGGCCCGUGGAUGGUGUGAGGCCGGUAGCGGCCCCUGGCAUGCAGAGACUGGGUCUCCUUGGAGUCAAGUUGCUUGGGAAUGCAGCUCAAAGCUGGUGGUAAUGUCCCAUACAGCUGACAUGGACCUAUAGCAAACUAUUAAAAGGUUUCAGAGUAACAGCCAUGUUAGUCUGUAUUCGCAAAAAGAAAAGGAGUACUUGUGGCACCUUAGAGACUAACCAAUUUAUUUGAGCAUAA